AUACAGAGGGUGCGAGCGUUAAUCGGAAUUACUGGGCGUAAAGCGCGCGUAGGCGGCUAUGUAAGUCGGAUGUGAAAGCCCCGGGCUUAACCUGGGAAUUGCAUUCGAAACUGCAUGGCUAGAGUCUGAUAGAGGGAAGUGGAAUUUCCGGUGUAGCGGUGAAAUGCGUAGAUAUCGGAAGGAACAUCAGUGGCGAAGGCGGCUUCCUGGAUCAAGACUGACGCUCAGGUGCGAAAGCGUGGGGAGCAAACAGGAUUAGAUACCCGGGUAGUCC
RNAcentral lists this ribosomal RNA (274 nucleotides) under uncultured bacterium. RNAcentral's name for it is "partial 16S ribosomal RNA". It matches the Rfam family "Bacterial small subunit ribosomal RNA", at positions 523 to 796 of the family's 1533-position model. The record is from RNAcentral.